AGCGUGCGCAGGCGGUUAUGUAAGACAGAUGUGAAAUCCCCGGGCUCAACCUGGGAACUGCAUUUGUGACUGCAUGGCUAGAGUACGGUAGAGGGGGAGUGGAAUUCCGCGUGUAGCAGUGAAAUGCGUAGAUAUGCGGAGGAACACCGAUGGCGAAGGCAAUCCCCCUGGACCUGUACUGACGCUCAUGCACGAAAGCGUGGGGAGCAAACAGGAUUAGAUACCCUUGU
This 230-nucleotide ribosomal RNA is filed under the name uncultured bacterium. RNAcentral describes it as "partial 16S ribosomal RNA". It matches the Rfam family "Bacterial small subunit ribosomal RNA", at positions 564 to 791 of the family's 1533-position model. The record is from RNAcentral.